Molecule: ribosomal RNA, 476 nt
Filed under: Tuber borchii (whitish truffle)
Lineage: Eukaryota; Fungi; Ascomycota; Pezizomycetes; Pezizales; Tuberaceae
Description: eukaryotic LSU rRNA
Rfam family: Eukaryotic large subunit ribosomal RNA
Source: RNAcentral
AAAGCUCAAAUUUGAAAUCUGGCGCCUCUGGUGUCCGAGUUGUACUUUGGAGAGGCAUCUUCUGGAGGGGCCCAGCCUAUGUGCCUUGGAACAGGACGUCAUAGAGGGUGAGAAUCCCGUCCUUGGCUGGAUAUUCCCUCCUGUAUGUAGUGUCUUCUACGAGUCGAGUUGUUUGGGAAUGCAGCUCAAAAUGGGUGGUAAAUUUCAUCUAAAGCUAAAUAUUGGCGAGAGACCGAUAGCGCACAAGUAGAGUGAUCGAAAGAUGAAAAGCACUUUGAAAAUAGAGUCAAACAGUACGUGAAAUUGUUGAAAGGGAAGCGCUUGAGACCAGAGUUAGCCUUUGGCAAACAACUAUCCUUCUGGAUGGUGCACUUGUCAUUGGUUGGGCCAGCAUCGGUUGGGACGGCAGGAUAAAGGCCCAGGGAAUGUGACUCCUUUAUGGAGUGUUAUAGCCCCAGGCGGCAUGCUGUCAGCCC